RNAcentral lists this ribosomal RNA (380 nucleotides) under uncultured eukaryote. Its description in RNAcentral is "partial 18S ribosomal RNA". It matches the Rfam family "Eukaryotic small subunit ribosomal RNA", at positions 592 to 976 of the family's 1831-position model. The record is from RNAcentral.
CAAUAGCGUAUAUUAAAGUUGUUGCAGUUAAAAAGCUCGUAGUUGGAUUUGUGGCGUACGGUGUGUUCCGGGCACUUGUUGUCUGAGUAACCUGCUGUUGCCAUCCUUGGGUGGAACCUGUGUGGCAUUAGGUUGUCGUGCAGGGGAUGCCCAUCAUUUACUGUGAAAAAAUUAGAGUGUUCAAAGCAGGCUUAUGCCGUUGAAUAUAUUAGCAUGGAAUAAUGAGAUAGGACUUUUUUGCUAUUUUGUUGGUUUGCGCAAGAAGGUAAUGAUUAAUAGGGACAGUUGGGGGUAUUCGUAUUCCAUUGUCAGAGGUGAAAUUCUUGGAUUUUUGGAAGACGAACUACUGCGAAAGCAUUUACCGAGGAUGUUUUCAUUAA